AUACGUAGGUGGCAAGCGUUGUCCGGAUUUAUUGGGCGUAAAGCGAGCGCAGGCGGUUUCUUAAGUCUGAUGUGAAAGCCCCCGGCUUAACCGGGGAGGGUCAUUGGAAACUGGGAGACUUGAGUGCAGAAGAGGAGAGUGGAAUUCCAUGUGUAGCGGUGAAAUGCGUAGAUAUAUGGAGGAACACCAGUGGCGAAGGCGACUCUCUGGUCUGUAACUGACGCUGAGGCUCGAAAGCGUGGGGAGCAAACAGGAUUAGAUACCCUGGUAGUCCACGCCGUAAACGGUGAGUGCUAAGUGUUGGAGGGUUUCCGCCCUUCAGUGCUGCAGCUAACGCAUUAAGCACUCCGCCUGGGGAGUACGGCCGCAAGGCUGAAACUCAAAGGAAUUGACGGGG
RNAcentral lists this ribosomal RNA (397 nucleotides) under uncultured bacterium. RNAcentral's name for it is "partial 16S ribosomal RNA". It matches the Rfam family "Bacterial small subunit ribosomal RNA", at positions 523 to 918 of the family's 1533-position model. The record is from RNAcentral.